This 1643-nucleotide ribosomal RNA is filed under the name Venturia inaequalis. Its description in RNAcentral is "SSU rRNA". It matches the Rfam family "Eukaryotic small subunit ribosomal RNA", at positions 3 to 1549 of the family's 1831-position model. Lineage: Eukaryota; Fungi; Ascomycota; Dothideomycetes; Venturiales; Venturiaceae. The record is from RNAcentral.
CCUGGUUGAUUCUGCCAGUAGUCAUAUGCUUGUCUCAAAGAUUAAGCCAUGCAUGUCUAAGUAUAAGCAACUAUACUGUGAAACUGCGAAUGGCUCAUUAAAUCAGUUAUCGUUUAUUUGAUAGUACCUUACUACUUGGAUAACCGUGGUAAUUCUAGAGCUAAUACAUGCGAAAAACCCCGACUUCGGAAGGGGUGUAUUUAUUAGAUAAAAAACCAAUGCCCUUCGGGGCUUCCUGGUGAUUCAUAAUAACUUAACGAAUCGCAUGGCCUUGCGCCGGCGAUGGUUCAUUCAAAUUUCUGCCCUAUCAACUUUCGAUUGUAGAGUAGUGGUCUACAAUGGUUUCAACGGGUAACGGGGAAUUAGGGUUCGACUCCGGAGAGGGAGCCUGAGAAACGGCUACCACAUCCAAGGAAGGCAGCAGGCGCGCAAAUUACCCAAUCCCGACACGGGGAGGUAGUGACAAUAAAUACUGAUACAGGGCUCUUUUGGGUCUUGUAAUUGGAAUGAGUACAAUUUAAAUCCCUUAACGAGGAACAACUGGAGGGCAAGUCUGGUGCCAGCAGCCGCGGUAAUUCCAGCUCCAGAAGCGUAUAUUAAAGUUGUUGCAGUUAAAAAGCUCGUAGUUGAAUUUUGGGCCUGGCUGGCCGGUCCGCCUCACCGCGUGCACUGGUCCGGCCGGGCCUUUCCUCCUGGGGAUCCGCAUGCCCUUCACUGGGUGUGUUGGGGAACCAGGACUUUUACUUUGAAAAAAUUAGAGUGUUCAAAGCAGGCCUUUGCUCGAAUACAUUAGCAUGGAAUAAUAGAAUAGGACGGCUUUCCUAUUUUGUUGGUUUCUAGGGAAGCCGUAAUGAUUAAUAGGGAUAGUCGGGGGCAUCAGUAUUCAAUUGUCAGAGGUGAAAUUCUUGGAUUUAUUGAAGACUAACUACUGCGAAAGCAUUUGCCAAGGAUGUUUUCAUUAAUCAGUGAACGAAAGUUAGGGGAUCGAAGACGAUCAGAUACCGUCGUAGUCUUAACCAUAAACUAUGCCGACUAGGGAUCGGGCGAUGUUACUAUCUUGACUCGCUCGGCACCUUACGAGAAAUCAAAGUUUUUGGGUUCUGGGGGGAGUAUGGUCGCAAGGCUGAAACUUAAAGAAAUUGACGGAAGGGCACCACCAGGAGUGGAGCCUGCGGCUUAAUUUGACUCAACACGGGGAAACUCACCAGGUCCAGAUACAAGUAGGAUUGACAGAUUGAGAGCUCUUUCUUGAUUUUGUAGUUGGUGGUGCAUGGCCGUUCUUAGUUGGUGGAGUGAUUUGUCUGCUUAAUUGCGAUAACGAACGAGACCUUAACCUGCUAAAUAGCCCGGCCCGCUUUGGCGGGUCGCUGGCUUCUUAGAGGGACUAUCGGCUCAAGCCGAUGGAAGUUUGAGGCAAUAACAGGUUAACCUUCGGUUAUUAAAACUCACAGGCCUGUGAAAGGGGGGGCGGUAGACCGCCCACCCCUAGUCCACGUCUUUACCCCCGUACACUGCGUGUGUGUCGGGCGGGGGGGCCGGAAACGGCUUGACGCGGGCAACAUCACCUGGUACAGAGGAAGCCCUCACACGGCCAAUUCUGUGGCCCGCCGGACUAGCAGCCGGCGGGUCUCAACGCGCGCAAA